Molecule: microRNA, 21 nt
Filed under: Homo sapiens (human)
Lineage: Eukaryota; Metazoa; Chordata; Mammalia; Primates; Hominidae
Description: hsa-miR-4708-5p
Source: miRBase by way of RNAcentral
AGAGAUGCCGCCUUGCUCCUU